AUGGACUGCAGCUGGAGAACCCUCCUCCUGGUGGCCAUGGCGACAGGUGUCCACUCCCAGGUGCAGCUGGUGCAGUCUGGGGCUGAGGUGAGGCAGCCUGGGGCCUCCGUGAAGGUCUCCUGCAAGGCUUCUGGAUACACCUUCACCAGCUACUGGAUGUACUGGGUGCAUCAGGCCCCAGGACAGGGGCUUGAGUGGAUGGGGAGCGUUUACCCUGGUGAUGGAGACACAAGGUACGCACAGAAGUUCCAAGGCAGAGUCUCCAUCACAGCAGACAAGUCCACAAGCACAGCCUACAUGGAGCUCAGCAGCCUGAGAGCCGAGGACACGGCUGUGUAUUACUGUGCAACAGACACAGUGAGGGGAACCUCUGGAUUCACCUUCAGUAGCUAUGGAAUGCACUGGGUCCGCCAGGCUCCAGGGAAGGGGCUGGAGUGGGUUUCUGCUAUUAGUACUGGUGGUGGUAGCACAUACUACGCCGACUCUGUGAAGGGCCGCUUCACCAUCUCCAGAGACAACGCCAAGAACAUGCUGUACCUGCAAAUGAGCAGCCUGAAAGCUCAGGACACGGCCAUGUAUUACUGUGCAAGAUACACAGUGAGGGGAAGUCAGUGUGAGCCCAGACACUAA
This is a non-coding RNA of Eptesicus fuscus (big brown bat), 630 nucleotides long. Lineage: Eukaryota; Metazoa; Chordata; Mammalia; Chiroptera; Vespertilionidae. The record is from the annotation of a RefSeq genome assembly.